GGGUUGUGAGGUUAAGCGACUAAGCGUACACGGUGGAUGCCCUGGCAGUCAGAGGCGAUGAAGGACGUGCUAAUCUGCGAUAAGCGUCGGUAAGGUGAUAUGAACCGUUAUAACCGGCGAUUUCCGAAUGGGGAAACCCAGUGUGAUUCGUCACACUAUCAUUAACUGAAUCCAUAGGUUAAUGAGGCGAACCGGGGGAACUGAAACAUCUAAGUACCCCGAGGAAAAGAAAUCAACCGAGAUUCCCCCAGUAGCGGCGAGCGAACGGGGAGCAGCCCAGAGCCUGAAUCAGUGUGUGUGUUAGUGGAAGCGUCUGGAAAGGCGCGCGAUACAGGGUGACAGCCCCGUACACAAAAAUGCACAUGCUGUGAGCUCGAUGAGUAGGGCGGGACACGUGGUAUCCUGUCUGAAUAUGGGGGGACCAUCCUCCAAGGCUAAAUACUCCUGACUGACCGAUAGUGAACCAGUACCGUGAGGGAAAGGCGAAAAGAACCCCGGCGAGGGGAGUGAAAAAGAACCUGAAACCGUGUACGUACAAGCAGUGGGAGCACGCUUAGGCGUGUGACUGCGUACCUUUUGUAUAAUGGGUCAGCGACUUAUAUUCUGUAGCAAGGUUAACCGAAUAGGGGAGCCGAAGGGAAACCGAGUCUUAACUGGGCGUUAAGUUGCAGGGUAUAGACCCGAAACCCGGUGAUCUAGCCAUGGGCAGGUUGAAGGUUGGGUAACACUAACUGGAGGACCGAACCGACUAAUGUUGAAAAAUUAGCGGAUGACUUGUGGCUGGGGGUGAAAGGCCAAUCAAACCGGGAGAUAGCUGGUUCUCCCCGAAAGCUAUUUAGGUAGCGCCUCGUGAAUUCAUCUCCGGGGGUAGAGCACUGUUUCGGCAAGGGGGUCAUCCCGACUUACCAACCCGAUGCAAACUGCGAAUACCGGAGAAUGUUAUCACGGGAGACACACGGCGGGUGCUAACGUCCGUCGUGAAGAGGGAAACAACCCAGACCGCCAGCUAAGGUCCCAAAGUCAUGGUUAAGUGGGAAACGAUGUGGGAAGGCCCAGACAGCCAGGAUGUUGGCUUAGAAGCAGCCAUCAUUUAAAGAAAGCGUAAUAGCUCACUGGUCGAGUCGGCCUGCGCGGAAGAUGUAACGGGGCUAAACCAUGCACCGAAGCUGCGGCAGCGACACUGUGUGUUGUUGGGUAGGGGAGCGUUCUGUAAGCCUGCGAAGGUGUGCUGUGAGGCAUGCUGGAGGUAUCAGAAGUGCGAAUGCUGACAUAAGUAACGAUAAAGCGGGUGAAAAGCCCGCUCGCCGGAAGACCAAGGGUUCCUGUCCAACGUUAAUCGGGGCAGGGUGAGUCGACCCCUAAGGCGAGGCCGAAAGGCGUAGUCGAUGGGAAACAGGUUAAUAUUCCUGUACUUGGUGUUACUGCGAAGGGGGGACGGAGAAGGCUAUGUUGGCCGGGCGACGGUUGUCCCGGUUUAAGCGUGUAGGCUGGUUUUCCAGGCAAAUCCGGAAAAUCAAGGCUGAGGCGUGAUGACGAGGCACUACGGUGCUGAAGCAACAAAUGCCCUGCUUCCAGGAAAAGCCUCUAAGCAUCAGGUAACAUCAAAUCGUACCCCAAACCGACACAGGUGGUCAGGUAGAGAAUACCAAGGCGCUUGAGAGAACUCGGGUGAAGGAACUAGGCAAAAUGGUGCCGUAACUUCGGGAGAAGGCACGCUGAUACGUAGGUGAAGUCCCUCGCGGAUGGAGCUGAAAUCAGUCGAAGAUACCAGCUGGCUGCAACUGUUUAUUAAAAACACAGCACUGUGCAAACACGAAAGUGGACGUAUACGGUGUGACGCCUGCCCGGUGCCGGAAGGUUAAUUGAUGGGGUCAGCGCAAGCGAAGCUCUUGAUCGAAGCCCCGGUAAACGGCGGCCGUAACUAUAACGGUCCUAAGGUAGCGAAAUUCCUUGUCGGGUAAGUUCCGACCUGCACGAAUGGCGUAAUGAUGGCCAGGCUGUCUCCACCCGAGACUCAGUGAAAUUGAACUCGCUGUGAAGAUGCAGUGUACCCGCGGCAAGACGGAAAGACCCCGUGAACCUUUACUAUAGCUUGACACUGAACAUUGAGCCUUGAUGUGUAGGAUAGGUGGGAGGCUUUGAAGUGUGGACGCCAGUCUGCAUGGAGCCGACCUUGAAAUACCACCCUUUAAUGUUUGAUGUUCUAACGUUGACCCGUAAUCCGGGUUGCGGACAGUGUCUGGUGGGUAGUUUGACUGGGGCGGUCUCCUCCUAAAGAGUAACGGAGGAGCACGAAGGUUGGCUAAUCCUGGUCGGACAUCAGGAGGUUAGUGCAAUGGCAUAAGCCAGCUUGACUGCGAGCGUGACGGCGCGAGCAGGUGCGAAAGCAGGUCAUAGUGAUCCGGUGGUUCUGAAUGGAAGGGCCAUCGCUCAACGGAUAAAAGGUACUCCGGGGAUAACAGGCUGAUACCGCCCAAGAGUUCAUAUCGACGGCGGUGUUUGGCACCUCGAUGUCGGCUCAUCACAUCCUGGGGCUGAAGUAGGUCCCAAGGGUAUGGCUGUUCGCCAUUUAAAGUGGUACGCGAGCUGGGUUUAGAACGUCGUGAGACAGUUCGGUCCCUAUCUGCCGUGGGCGCUGGAGAAUUGAGGGGGGCUGCUCCUAGUACGAGAGGACCGGAGUGGACGCAUCACUGGUGUUCGGGUUGUCAUGCCAAUGGCACUGCCCGGUAGCUAAAUGCGGAAGAGAUAAGUGCUGAAAGCAUCUAAGCACGAAACUUGCCCCGAGAUGAGUUCUCCCUGACUCCUUGAGAGUCCUGAAGGAACGUUGAAGACGACGACGUUGAUAGGCCGGGUGUGUAAGCGCAGCGAUGCGUUGAGCUAACCGGUACUAAUGAACCGUGAGGCUUAACCUUACAACGCCGAAGGUGUUU
This 2930-nucleotide ribosomal RNA is filed under the name Escherichia coli. RNAcentral's name for it is "bacterial LSU rRNA". It matches the Rfam family "Bacterial large subunit ribosomal RNA". Lineage: Bacteria; Pseudomonadati; Pseudomonadota; Gammaproteobacteria; Enterobacterales; Enterobacteriaceae. RNAcentral also lists the same sequence under 1 other name. The record is from RNAcentral.